RNAcentral lists this ribosomal RNA (411 nucleotides) under uncultured bacterium. RNAcentral's name for it is "bacterial SSU rRNA". It matches the Rfam family "Bacterial small subunit ribosomal RNA", at positions 361 to 770 of the family's 1533-position model. The record is from RNAcentral.
AUAUUGGGCAAUGGGCGAGAGCCUGACCCAGCCAUGCCGCGUGCAGGAAGAAGGCCUUCUGGGUUGUAAACUGCUUUUACCAGGGAAGAAAACGCUCCUGCGGGAGUAACUGACGGUACCUGGUGAAUAAGCACCGGCUAACUCCGUGCCAGCAGCCGCGGUAAUACGGAGGGUGCAAGCGUUGUCCGGAUUUAUUGGGUUUAAAGGGUGCGUAGGCGGCCCGUUAAGUCAGCGGUGAAAUCCCACGGCUCAACCGUGGAACUGCCGUUGAUACUGGCGGGCUUGAGUUCGGUUAAGGCGGGCGGAACUGGUGGUGUAGCGGUGAAAUGCUUAGAUACCACCAAGAACCCCGAUUGCGUAGGCAGCUCGCUGAGCCGAAACUGACGCUGAGGCACGAAAGCGUGGGGAGCG